RNAcentral lists this ribosomal RNA (429 nucleotides) under Anolis carolinensis (green anole). RNAcentral describes it as "partial 16S ribosomal RNA". It matches the Rfam family "Bacterial large subunit ribosomal RNA", at positions 1970 to 2594 of the family's 2925-position model. The record is from RNAcentral. Lineage: Eukaryota; Metazoa; Chordata; Lepidosauria; Squamata; Anolidae.
UGUCUCCUAAAUAGGGACCUGUAUGAACGGCUAAAUGAAUAUUUAACUGUCUCUUUUAACUAAUCAGUGAAACUGAUCUUCCAGUACAAAAGCUGGAAUAAUAAUAUAAGACGAGAAGACCCUGUGGAGCUUUAAAUUUCAACCAACAUAUAAUUACCACAGUUAUUUAUGCUUAACAUUUUAAGUUGGGGCGACUUCGGAUAAAAACUAAACAUCCGAGCAAAUAAGGCACUGCCUAAAAAAGGCCUACAAGCCAAAGCUAAUAUUGACCCAGUAAUACUGAUUAACGAACCAAGUUACCCCAGGGAUAACAGCGCCAUCUUCUUUAAGAGUUCAUAUCGACAAGAAGGUUUACGACCUCGAUGUUGGAUCAGGACACCCAAAUGGUGCAGCCGCUAUUAAAGGUUCGUUUGUUCAACGAUUAACAGU